Molecule: long non-coding RNA, 352 nt
Filed under: Macaca mulatta (Rhesus monkey)
Lineage: Eukaryota; Metazoa; Chordata; Mammalia; Primates; Cercopithecidae
Description: lncRNA (ENSMMUG00000037651.2)
Source: RNAcentral
UUUUCCUGUUUUCAUUUUUAGCCAUUUAGUUCUCAUGGCUCUGUUCCAGGACUCUUUAAUUUGCCAGUAGCUGUUUUUCCUACACAGAUUACAGGAGUAAUUCAUCAGUGAAUGUUUCACUCAGUGGUCCCAUCUAAUGUGUCUUCAGAUGUCCAACUCUUGCCACAAGAAUGACAACUUUUCCACUUCUAUUCAAACAUCUACGAAACUCCUACAAAAUUGGAUCUAGGGCUGAGAAUUUCUUUUAAGGAGUCCAUCUUUCUUGUUUCCAGAUUAGUAAAAACAAGGAACAAUGUGUUUCCUCUUCAUUUCAUUGUAAGAGAGUACUGAAGCCAAAGUUAAAUAUUAAAAU